GACGAACGCUGGCGGCGUGCUUAACACAUGCAAGUCGAACGGAAAGGCCCUGCUUUUGUGGGGUGCUCGAGUGGCGAACGGGUGAGUAACACGUGAGUAACCUGCCCUUGACUUUGGGAUAACUUCAGGAAACUGGGGCUAAUACCGGAUAGGAGCUCCUGCUGCAUGGUGGGGGUUGGAAAGUUUCGGCGGUUGGGGAUGGACUCGCGGCUUAUCAGCUUGUUGGUGGGGUAGUGGCUUACCAAGGCUUUGACGGGUAGCCGGCCUGGGAGGGUGACCGGCCACAUUGGGACUGAGGUACGGCCCAGACUCCUACGGGAGGCAGCAGUGGGGAAUAUUGCACAAUGGGCGGAAGCCUGAUGCAGCAACGCUGCGUGCGGGAUGACGGCCUUCGGGUUGUAAACCGCUUUCGCAUGUGACGAAGCGUGAGUGACGGUAAUGGGUAAAGAAGCACCGGCUAACUACGUG
Molecule: ribosomal RNA, 468 nt
Filed under: uncultured bacterium
Lineage: Bacteria
Description: partial 16S ribosomal RNA
Rfam family: Bacterial small subunit ribosomal RNA
Source: RNAcentral